RNAcentral lists this ribosomal RNA (490 nucleotides) under uncultured bacterium. RNAcentral describes it as "partial 16S ribosomal RNA". It matches the Rfam family "Bacterial small subunit ribosomal RNA", at positions 30 to 507 of the family's 1533-position model. The record is from RNAcentral.
AUUGAACGCUGGCGGCAGGCCUAACACAUGCAAGUCGAACGGUAACAGGAAGAAGCUUGCUUCUUUGCUGACGAGUGGCGGACGGGUGAGUAAUGUCUGGGAAACUGCCUGAUGGAGGGGGAUAACUACUGGAAACGGUAGCUAAUACCGCAUAACGUCGCAAGACCAAAAAGGGGGACCUUCGGGCCUCUUGCCAUCGGAUGUGCCCAGAUGGGAUUAGCUAGUAGGUGGGGUAACGGCUCACCUAGGCGACGAUCCCUAGCUGGUCUGAGAGGAUGACCAGCCACACUGGAACUGAGCCACGGUCCAGACUCCUACGGGAGGAAGCAGAGGGGAAUAUUGGAAAAUGGGCGCAAGCCUGAUGCAGACAUGCCGCGUGUAUGAAGAAGGCCUUCGGGUUGUAAAGUACUUUCAGCGGGGAGGAAGGGAGUAAAGUUAAUACCUUUGCUCAUUGACGUUACCCGCAGAAGAAGCACCGGCUAACUCCGUG